UUGUGGACUUGAAUGAAUGGUUAGACAAGAUAUUAACUGUCUCAAAUUUUUGAUAAUUAGAAUUUAAAAUUUUAGUUAAAAUGCUUAAAUUUUUUUAAAGGACGAGAAGACCCUAUAGAUCUUUAUUAUUAUUUGAUUUAUUAUUUUUGGUUUAUUUUAUUAUUAAUUUUAAUGAUUUUUUAGUUGGGGUGACGUUGAGAUAUAAUUAACUCUUUAUAUUUAUAUUCAAUUAUUUUUGUUUUAAUGACCUUGUAUUAUUGUUUUAAGAUAUAGAUACCUUAGGGAUAACAGCGUAAUUCUUUUUGAGAGUUCUUAUCGACAAAGGAGAUUGCGACCUCGAUGUUGGAUUAAGAUUAUAAUUAGGUGAAGGUGCUUAAAAUAUUAAGUCUGUUCGACUUUUAAAAUCUUACA
RNAcentral lists this ribosomal RNA (411 nucleotides) under Paramenexenus laetus. Its description in RNAcentral is "partial 16S ribosomal RNA". The stretch from base 284 to 411 matches the Rfam family "Bacterial large subunit ribosomal RNA", at positions 2473 to 2600 of the family's 2925-position model. The record is from RNAcentral. Lineage: Eukaryota; Metazoa; Arthropoda; Insecta; Phasmatodea; Lonchodidae.